This 1830-nucleotide long non-coding RNA is filed under the name Capsicum annuum. RNAcentral describes it as "long non-coding RNA (CANN_LNC006958)". The record is from RNAcentral. Lineage: Eukaryota; Viridiplantae; Streptophyta; Magnoliopsida; Solanales; Solanaceae.
UUUAGACCCCGAGCUCUGUGAUCCUACAGCCGUUGACUCAACCCGAUCUUUGGGUUAAAAAUAGAGCUUCCAUUGAAAUUCCAACACCCCAGAUUAUAUGAAACAAAGAAAAAUGAUAAGGAUUAGUAUUUGAUCAAAUAAGGAGUACAGGGGAAAAUACAAAUUAAGGGAGAAAAUAUGUUGAAUGAGCAUUUCAUUAAGCAAAGCAUGUGUUUUAAAUUCCAUGGAUAUAUUACUUUAAGAAAGUUAUCCUUUUUGGCCAAGGCAAAAACAAGAGUGCAACAGAUAAAGGCUAACCUAUUUCUAAAAAAAAUGCUCAUUUGGAUCAGCCGUAAAUUAGCUAAUCACUCUUUCUAAGCAAACUAACAUCGUGACCUUUCAACGGUGAAAUUACAAAUGGGACGAGAUUCUAAUUGAAUGAUACUUUGAUACAUUUAACUAUAUUAGUAAGUAGAAAAUCUUAUGAGCCCCAAUAUAUUAAUGCGUACAUUUAAAUUCUUCUUAAGGAAUCACAGAUAGGGCUAGCCAACCAUUUUUUAGAAGUCUAAUACAUACGAUAGUUCAUACAAUAAUUCCACACAAGAUGCAAACAAACUCUUCAACAUACUGCAAAGGCAGACAAGAUAAAGAUUCAAAGGUACUAUUUCAUUCUGUGAACAUUCCAAAUCAAAGCUUUCAACGUGUUUUGUAAAACAUAUCUCAAUAUCGUCUUUAUUUAUUAUUUUGAAAGAAUAUUUAGCUAAAAAGAAAAUGCAUACAACAACCACACGCACAGGUUUAUACUUUAGAUAGAGGGAGAUGAGAUAGUAGAGGGAUACUAAAAAUAUAGAUCAGAUUAAUUAGUGGCCUGUUCGUGCUAUGCCAAGUUGUGACAUUUUCAAGCCAUUGUUUCAUCAAACAAUACUCAUUCUCACAAGAAUGUCAAGCAAAUAAGAGGGGAAAACAAGUUGUCAAUUCAGAAUCGAACCAUACAAUGGCCAAAAACUAACAAGUUUUUUGCAAAACUUUGUUCAUUCCAAAUGAAAGGAUGAUGUAAACACAAGGCAACCAAGGUUCUAAAUUUAGGAUCAAUAGAAAAUAGAGGUUUUACCACAUAUCUUAUUCUUUAUAUAGCCAUGUAUCCAGAAUAGUACACAAUCAAGAUAACUCUAUAUUGCUAAUACACAACAACAAAGAAGUAAAAAUGGAGUAGGAAUUAAUUCACGCAGCCAUUCCAAGCACAAAGGAGAAAUGCGAGUAAGAAACAAGACGAAAGCUCACCUUGUGUUGGGCAGCAAUCCUGGGGCUUCAGCGUUAAGAUUCAGAUGAAUAACUCAAACUUCGAGGAAUUGACCUUAGACCAACAACAAUAAAGACAUAUAAUAAUUUAGUGACCUUACUACGUCAAUUCGGAGUGUUCACUCUAUAUUUUCGAACUUGUUCUCUCCUUCCAAAAAACUUCUGCCCCCUUCGAAAUAGGUAAAAAUGUGGGUAUUUAUAUGCUAAUCCGGACUUGAAAGUCUGGAUUUGAAACCAAAAAUUCAAGGAAACCAACGGCCAAAUCAAAUGGAUGUAUUUGAAAUUCAAAAAGUUUAAAGAGACAACUCACUUCACGAUUUUGAACAAUUUUUGUGUCUUUAACUUGGAUUUGAAAUCGAAUUUCGUUGUAUCACCGAUUAGGAACUGAUUUUCGCUGAUUUGUUGAAAUAGCGGAUUAGAAAGGCUGAAAAUAUGAUGAAUCUUUGUAGUACAGGCGGAUGGUCAGAUAUGGUGGAUUAGGGUUUAGAUUUUGGGUAUAGAGUAGAUGAGGAAGAUGGAGAGAGAGUGAAAGAUUGAUUGUUUCUUUAUGCA